This 440-nucleotide ribosomal RNA is filed under the name uncultured bacterium. Its description in RNAcentral is "partial 16S ribosomal RNA". It matches the Rfam family "Bacterial small subunit ribosomal RNA", at positions 338 to 795 of the family's 1533-position model. The record is from RNAcentral.
CCUACGGGAGGCAGCAGUGGGGGAUAUUGCACAAUGGGGGGAACCCUGAUGCAGCGACGCCGCGUGGGUGAAGAAGCGCCUCGGCGCGUAAAGCCCUGUCAGCAGGGAAGAAAAUGACGGUACCUGAAGAAGAAGCCCCGGCUAACUACGUGCCAGCAGCCGCGGUAAUACGUAGGGGGCAAGCGUUAUCCGGAUUUCCUGGGUGUAAAGGGGGCGCAGACGGCGAUGCAAGCCAGGAGUGAAAGCCGGGGGCCCAACCCCGGGACUGCUCUUGGAACUGCGUGGCUGGAGUGCAGGAGGGGCAGGCGGAAUUCCUGGUGUAGCGGUGAAAUGCGUAGAUAUCAGGAGGAACACCGGUGGCGAAGGCGGCCUGCUGGACUGCAACUGACGUUGAGGCCCGAAAGCGUGGGGAGCAAACAGGAUUAGAUACCCGAGUAGUC